Molecule: long non-coding RNA, 820 nt
Filed under: Ananas comosus (pineapple)
Lineage: Eukaryota; Viridiplantae; Streptophyta; Magnoliopsida; Poales; Bromeliaceae
Description: long non-coding RNA (ACOM_LNC011793)
Source: RNAcentral
CCGGCAGGGAGGAGGUCACCAAAAAUCUCCAAAUCCACUGGAAAAAAAACCAAGGUGUCCAGCUCAAGUUCGAAAUCGCCCUGCACACAUCGCAACGAAGAACUCCAACUCAAAUUCUGUCCGAAACACAGCAGCAGAGGAGAACAUAAUUUCGACCUAGCUAACCUUCACCAAAUCCAGAAACUAAGGGUUUCGUGGAUUCCUCUCGAAGUCCUGAAUCCAACGAACCAAGUCCCGUCGAAAUCCGACGCUCCUACACCGAGUACGAGCCGAAGCGCCAACGGUCGACGCUGGAAAUCUGCAGGGACAGCACCUAGCUCGAAUUUGAAGAAGCUUGGAAAUAAAGAAGCAAUUUGACGGCACACCCACCUCGACAGCGACCCUAGUAUCUGUGCGACGUCGAGGACGGCGAUAACACACCCUCGAUCGGCCUCCUCGCGAUGCUACGGCGACAAACGUAGGCUCGAACGGCUCGGCGACGCGACAUCGACGGCGAAUCCGAGCUUCGCGGCUACCUCUACGCGGCUCCUCCGCUUCGGCUCUCCACUCCACACGAAAGAGAGAAAGAAAAAUAUAAUUAGAGAGGUGUAGGCUGCAUCUCUCAAUUAAUUGAAUGGAUAACCAUGCAUGGGGGCACGUGGCAUCCACACACACACACAUAUAUAUAUAAAGGAUACUACAUCCUCCCCCACUACAACAAGUUUCGUUCUCGAAACUAAAACGUACCUCAGCUCAGGCAUCAAACAGAUAGGGAUAGGCCUCCCUCAUCACCAUCUCAGGCUCCCAAGUCGCCUCCCGCUCCUCGUGAUUGCUCCACUGC